Long non-coding RNA from Cyprinus carpio carpio, 459 nucleotides. Lineage: Eukaryota; Metazoa; Chordata; Actinopteri; Cypriniformes; Cyprinidae. The record is from Ensembl.
ACAAGUUCUACCAGAAAGACUCAGGGAGGUAGAGAUAAGACUGAAGUAUUUAUUUACAACAACACAAAAAAUAUAAUUAUUUUGGCGUAGGCCCCAUCCGUAGCGUGGAUCUGAAGUUUGUAGAUACCAGCUAAUCCUGCCGAAGACGAAGGCAGGGCGGAGCCUACCCCAAAAGAAAGAAGAAUAAUGUAAUACGCACCAGAUGAAGUAUUUCUUAGAGGAUCCUGGAACAUGAACGAAAGAGAUAAAUUGAGAUAAUUAGCCAGACAUAAGAAUACAACAUCAGAUUAUAGCUAAAGUAUUAGCUUAUAUGGCAAUGAAGAUAGACCACAGAGCCUUUGAGAGAGGCCACAAUAGGCCGGACAGUGAGAGAGAGAGGCAGGCCACGAUAGGCCGGACAGUGAGGCAGGCCACGAUAGGCCGGACAGUGAGGCAGAGAGGCAGGCCACGAUAGGCCGG